UAGCUCAGUGGUAAGAGUGCUUGCCUAGGAUGCAAGAGGUUCUUGGUUUGAGCCCUUG
Molecule: transfer RNA, 58 nt
Filed under: Cavia porcellus (domestic guinea pig)
Lineage: Eukaryota; Metazoa; Chordata; Mammalia; Rodentia; Caviidae
Rfam family: tRNA
About the family: Transfer RNA (tRNA) molecules are approximately 80 nucleotides in length. Their secondary structure includes four short double-helical elements and three loops (D, anti-codon, and T loops).
Source: Rfam by way of RNAcentral